GAUAGCUCUGGAGCUGGCGGCGCGCGUGUGCUGUUCGUGGUGGGCGAUUUUUUGCUGCCCUCCAUCUUGAUGAUUCACCGCUUGCUUCCAGGCUCUUUGGCCUCAUCACCUCCACCUUGUCCCUGAGAGAGCAACACGACGACGAAGAGGUCGAGAUGAAAUGGGCAGCCAUCGAGCGGCUGCCCACCUGGGACAGGCUCCAUACCUCGCCCCCUCUCCACGCCAGCGGCAAUGCCGACGGCGCUCGUCCGCUGGAGCCGGUCGACGCGGGCCGGCUAGGGGCGGCGGACUGGCAGGAGCAGGUUACGCCUGCUUCGCCGCCGGCGCCACUGGAUGGACAGGGUCGGCGUGCGGCAGCCGAUGUUGGAGGUCCGGUGGCGGAACCUGCGCGUCGAUGCCGAGUGCCAGGUCGUCGAUGGCAAGCCGCUCCUCAAGUCCGCCAUCUCCGCUCGUUCAAAAAAAAAAAACUCCGCCAUCUCCAAGCUCUCGCUGCAGCUGCUCACCACCAUGCUGGGCUUCAACCAUAUAACAAAGAAAGGAUGAAGGAUCCACAUCCUCAAAGAUGUCACCGGCAUCCUCAGACCAUCCAGGAUGACCCUUCUCCUUGGACCCCCAGGCUGUGGCAAAACCACCCUUUUGCUAGCACUUGCUGGAAAGCUACCAAAAAUCUAAGAAAAGACAGCACCUUACAUUGGUCAGUAUGAUCUUCAUAUCCCUGAGAUGACUGUCACGGAGAUGCUCGACUUCUCUGCAAGAUUCCAGGGCGUUGGCAGAAGAGCAGAAUAGAAAUCAUGAAGGAAGUCAUUAGAUGCUUCGAGUUCGACUGCUCCUCCUUCGCCGGUCUUAGCCCAGCAAGUGUUGUGGCUAGGUGGUGAGGAACAGAGAAUCAAACGGGCAGACCAUGCUGGAGAAGAUGGUGACCUUUGCUGACCCGCUUACGCCCCACCCGGCAUCUCCUUAGUUAUCUUUCUCGGUUCCAGUAACCUGCUUUCAUCUACUUUCCGCCUAGGUCUGACUUGCUGAAUCCUACUGUUGUUUAAACCUUGUGUUUGGUUUCACUGAUUAAUGGAACCGGGCGGGCGCUCUGUUUAUCUGAAAAAAUACAGAA
Molecule: long non-coding RNA, 1108 nt
Organism: Triticum aestivum (bread wheat)
Lineage: Eukaryota; Viridiplantae; Streptophyta; Magnoliopsida; Poales; Poaceae
Exons: 6
Source: RefSeq, a predicted model, not a curated record